Long non-coding RNA from Ictalurus punctatus (channel catfish), 478 nucleotides. NCBI's taxonomy places the organism in Eukaryota, Metazoa, Chordata, Actinopteri, Siluriformes, Ictaluridae. The record is from Ensembl.
CCAUUACUGCCAAACACCACAGCACUAUUACUACCAUUACCACCAAACACCACCAUUACUGCCAAACACCACAGCACUAUUACCACCAUUACCACCAAACACCACCAUUACCGCCAUUACCACCAAACACCACAGCACUAUUACCACCAUUACCACUAAAACCCCACCAUUACCACCAAACACCACCAUAACCACCAGACACCACCAUUACCACCAUUACCACCAAACACCACAUCACUAUUACUACCAUUACCACCAAACACCACCAUUACUGCCAAACACCACAUCACUAUUACCACCAUUACCACCAAACACCACCAUUACCGCCAAACACCACAUCACUAUUACUACCAUUACCACCAAACACCACCAUUACCGCCAAACACCACAGCACUAUUACCACCAUUACCACAACACCACCAUUACCACCAAACACCACAUCACUAUUACCACCAUUACCACCAAACACCACCAUUAC